RNAcentral lists this long non-coding RNA (2819 nucleotides) under Homo sapiens (human). RNAcentral's name for it is "HSALNT0160826". The record is from RNAcentral. Lineage: Eukaryota; Metazoa; Chordata; Mammalia; Primates; Hominidae.
GCCAAUGUUCACCCUGUCCAGGAUGGCACCUGCUGUCGUCUGGGGCACGGACACCAUCCGUGUCACGUUGUUCCGCUUGACAUCGGCCCUGGAGUCUUCCUAUAGGGGAACAUGAAGACAUCGGUUCAGUUGCCUGUUUCCGCAGCUAUUCCUUGUCACACUCAACGCUGCUUCAGCUGUUCAUGGGACAGCAUAAAAAUACACCUUCCACACUCUGUCUCAGGAUGUUUAACUGCAGUCAGGGAAAGGCUGCAUUUUCAGAAAGACUCUGGCAGGUCUGAACACCCAUUGGCCACACUGGUGCAUGGGGUGCCUGAAAACAGGUGCAAACCCGACUCUUCACCUCCCAGAGUCAGAUUAGAAUUGGAGGCCAGUCUGCUGUUCUAUUAGUGAAUCCUGGGAAGGCCUCUUAGCUUUAAGGGGUGUGUGUGUGUGUGUGUGUAUGUGUGUCCAUUUUUUUUAAUUAAAAAAGUAUUUUAGUUGACACAUUAUUAUGGAUAUGAUUUGAUGUGUUGAUAAAUGCAUCUGUUUCAUGGGGAAGGGGGUGUGGGAAGGAGACGGGACAGGGAGGAUAGGGAGAUGUUGGCCAACAGGUACAAAAUGACAAUCAGAGAGGAGGAAUGAGCUCUGGUUUUCUCCUGCACAGUGGGGUGACUGUUUUCCAAUACUGUAUUGCAUAUUUCAAAAUAGCUAGAAGAGAAGAUUUGAAUGUUCUCACCACAAAGAAAUGAUACAUCUGGGGUGACAGCCAUGCGAACUAUCCUGAUUUGAUCAUUUUACAUCAAGGCCACUUUUGUUGGGACCCGAACCAAGCCCUGAGGUUUGAGACUUGGUCACUGGAAUACCUUGUGCUGGGCAAGUUCCCCGGGGUUCUUCUCAUUUGGUCUUUUCAGUUCUGUCCAAUCCAGAAACUUUUCUUUGAACAAAAUCGUCUCAUUGUGUUCAGUAAGUCUCCCAAAUAUCGCCCAGUCGGGCCGCCCCUGUCCUUUUCUGUAGGGUGGGAAGGGGGUUGGGAGAACAGACAGGAAAAGAACCAAGAUGAAGCCAAGCUUAAACAAAGGAAUCUAAAACACAUGCGGCUGCUGGAAAAAACCUCAAAGCCACUGACCAAGACGGCAGAUGGGGAGAGCACAGAAAGAUAGGAGGUCUUGUGCGGGCUUGGGAUUUCAGAAUUUGUGCUGUCCCCAAGAACACAGACCCAUCUUCGGUUGUGAAUCUGGCCUGGGAUGCAGCCACCUCUUAGAGCAACCCCCGCUGCUGCUUGUGCCCUGCUGUGCUACUGCCUCAGUCACUUCCUGCUUGGUCAAGACCACAGCUGCUGAUGUCACAGCUGAGGCACAUCAAAAAGGCUGCCUGAUUCAAAGAAAGCUGCCGGAUAAAUCAUAGAGCACAGACACUUCUACCUCAUGCUCUUAUGGGACUUUAGGAACCAAACAUAAGCACCUAUGGAAAAUGCACGGUGGUCUUGAAAGGCUGUGUGGUCUUUAUCAGAAAAUAUCUGAAUGACUGUCUCUUAUGUCAGUCCUACUCUGCAGGCUUGCUAAGAUGAUAAUUGAAAGGGCUUUUGGUUUCUGCUUUAGAAUCUGUCACUUAUGUUUUGAAGCGUUGUGAGCAAGCGAUGCAGCAGAUUGCAGGGUGAGGGGGAUGAACCUGGGCCAGAAGCCAGAUGUGUUUCUCCACGCACUGCCCUGACCUACAGCCGGAACUGGGCUCAGUGGUUUCAGCCUCAUUUGCUAAGAAGGGCUGGGUGCGUAAUCUUGGCUGCACCUUAAAAUCCCUGGGAGCUUUUAAGACAUAUUGACACAUAAACUGUAACUCACAUGAAACGAAAACACAUCUCUGGGGCUGGGCUGAGCAAAUGCCUUUUUUUUAAAGGCCCCUCAGGUGAUUCUGUCUCAGAGAUGUUGAAAACCAGUGGGUUAGGAGCUCAGUCAUCUACUUUCAGAUCUGUGAUUAUGCCACUAUUAAAUACAGUUGGCUAUCACAUAGAUUUUUAUGCUUUAGCUUGUUUUUUUUUCUCUGCUAUACCAAAUAAAAUCUUUUGAGCUGUUGUAGUUCCAGUCCUUAAAACAACAGUUGUUACCAUACUGAGGUUAAACAUUAGUGCAUUUGCUUAACAAGGACAUUAAAACUUCUUACCACACUGACAUAAUUUUAAUGAUUUCUAUAAUAAUUAAUAAGAAAAUCAAUAAUUGGAUUUUAAAGCAGGAAACUAGGCAGGAAAGUUGAAAUUCAUAUACCAGUUCAAUGGAAAACAUUAAAAUGUAGUUGUGUGAUGCCCAAUAUUCUAUGCUGUUUGUUGGUUCAUUGGUUUCUCAUCUAUUGUAACAGCACCCAUAGUUAAAAAGCACUACUUUUUUUGGUCUGAUAGUUAAAAAGACAACAACAAUCCUUUGCAUGUAAGAAUUUUUUUCUCAUAAUCACAAUUUUAGAGUUUGCACAUAUUCUAUUCAAUUUCAAAAAUAACUUUAAAGAGUCUAGUACCUGCAGGGAAUAUUACAAUUGCAAUCAUUGUUUUAAUACCAUCUCCUCUCCCUCUUCCCUUCCCAAAAGGUAUAAAGACAUAAACAUCAUCUGCUGCCAAAUAAAUCCUGGAAUUCGAGGGCGAUGCUGGGAAGGUACCAACCUUCGCCUUUUCUAUGGCGUUUGCGAACUCUCCUACCCACAGGAAGCAGCAGUGGGGAGAGAGCAGGAGGAAGCAGUCCCCACUAUUGAGCGCCGAAGCUCGAGGUUCCACCAGCCUGGUCUGCACGUGUCUUCUUCCUGAACACGAGGCAGACACUCACCGUCUUUCCAGACAGAACGGGGAUAGGACGCAC